GAAAUGCGAUAAGUAAUGUGAAUUGCAGAAUUCAGUGAAUCAUCGAAUCUUUGAACGCACAUUGCGCCCGCCAGUAUUCUGGCGGGCAUGCCUGUUCGAGCGUCAUUUCAACCAUCAAGCCCCCGGGCUUGUGUUGGGGACCUGCGGCUGCCGCAGGCCCCGAAAACCAGUGGCGGGCUCGCUGUCACACCGGGCGUAGUAGAUUUUUCGUCUCGCCCAGGGCGUGCUGCGGGUUCCGGCCGUUAAAAAGCCUCUCUUUUAACUCAAGGUUGACCUCGGAUCAGGUAGGAAGACCCGCUGAACUUAAGC
This 309-nucleotide unclassified non-coding RNA is filed under the name plant metagenome. Its description in RNAcentral is "partial contains 5.8S ribosomal RNA, internal transcribed spacer 2, and large subunit ribosomal RNA". The stretch from base 1 to 105 matches the Rfam family "5.8S ribosomal RNA", at positions 50 to 154 of the family's 154-position model. The record is from RNAcentral.